This 807-nucleotide ribosomal RNA is filed under the name Escherichia coli. Its description in RNAcentral is "partial 23S ribosomal RNA". It matches the Rfam family "Bacterial large subunit ribosomal RNA", at positions 375 to 1187 of the family's 2925-position model. Lineage: Bacteria; Pseudomonadati; Pseudomonadota; Gammaproteobacteria; Enterobacterales; Enterobacteriaceae. The record is from RNAcentral.
GUACACAAAAAUGCACAUAUUGUGAGCUCGAUGAGUAGGGCGGGACACGUGGUAUCCUGUCUGAAUAUGGGGGGACCAUCCUCCAAGGCUAAAUACUCCUGACUGACCGAUAGUGAACCAGUACCGUGAGGGAAAGGCGAAAAGAACCCCGGCGAGGGGAGUGAAAAAGAACCUGAAACCGUGUACGUACAAGCAGUGGGAGCCUCUUAAUGGGGUGACUGCGUACCUUUUGUAUAAUGGGUCAGCGACUUAUAUUCUGUAGCAAGGUUAACCGAAUAGGGGAGCCGAAGGGAAACCGAGUCUUAACUGGGCGUUAAGUUGCAGGGUAUAGACCCGAAACCCGGUGAUCUAGCCAUGGGCAGGUUGAAGGUUGGGUAACACUAACUGGAGGACCGAACCGACUAAUGUUGAAAAAUUAGCGGAUGACUUGUGGCUGGGGGUGAAAGGCCAAUCAAACCGGGAGAUAGCUGGUUCUCCCCGAAAGCUAUUUAGGUAGCGCCUCGUGAAUUCAUCUCCGGGGGUAGAGCACUGUUUCGGCAAGGGGGUCAUCCCGACUUACCAACCCGAUGCAAACUGCGAAUACCGGAGAAUGUUAUCACGGGAGACACACGGCGGGUGCUAACGUCCGUCGUGAAGAGGGAAACAACCCAGACCGCCAGCUAAGGUCCCAAAGUCAUGGUUAAGUGGGAAACGAUGUGGGAAGGCCCAGACAGCCAGGAUGUUGGCUUAGAAGCAGCCAUCAUUUAAAGAAAGCGUAAUAGCUCACUGGUCGAGUCGGCCUGCGCGGAAGAUGUAACGGGGCUAAAC